AAUGAUCCUUCCGUAGGGGAACCUGCGGAAGGAUCAUUAGUGAAUAUAGGACGUCCAACUUAACUUGGAGUCCGAACUCUCACUUUCUAACCCUGUGCACUUGUUUGGGAUAGUAACUCUCGCAAGAGAGCGAACUCCUAUUCACUUAUAAACACAAAGUCUAUGAAUGUAUUAAAUUUUAUAACAAAAUAAAACUUUCAACAACGGAUCUCUUGGCUCUCGCAUCGAUGAAGAACGCAGCGAAAUGCGAUAAGUAAUGUGAAUUGCAGAAUUCAGUGAAUCAUCGAAUCUUUGAACGCACCUUGCGCUCCAUGGUAUUCCGUGGAGCAUGCCUGUUUGAGUGUCAUGAAUACUUCAACCCUCCUCUUUCUUAAUGAUUGAAGAGGUGUUUGGUUUCUGAGCGCUGCUGGCCUUUACGGUCUAGCUCGUUCGUAAUGCAUUAGCAUCCGCAAUCGAACUUCGGAUUGACUUGGCGUAAUAGACUAUUCGCUGAGGAAUUCUAGUCUUCGGACUAGAGCCGGGUUGGGUUAAAGGAAGCUUCUAAUCAGAAUGUCUACAUUUUAAGAUUAGAUCUCAAAUCAGGUAGGACUACCCGCUGAACUUAAGCAUAUCAAUAAGCGGAGGAG
Molecule: ribosomal RNA, 626 nt
Filed under: Rhodotorula mucilaginosa
Lineage: Eukaryota; Fungi; Basidiomycota; Microbotryomycetes; Sporidiobolales; Sporidiobolaceae
Description: eukaryotic LSU rRNA
Rfam family: 5.8S ribosomal RNA (bases 193-346)
Source: RNAcentral